Fukomys damarensis (Damara mole-rat) is the source of this 1656-nucleotide long non-coding RNA. The record is from Ensembl. Lineage: Eukaryota; Metazoa; Chordata; Mammalia; Rodentia; Bathyergidae.
GGGAGUGAGUGAGCUAGUGAGCCAAAAGUCAGUGCGUGCCGAGUCCCCGGGAGGAGGGUCCCCAGGGAGGGCCCGGUCUGGGCCUCAGGAGCCGCCCCCUCAGCCACUCCAUCUCCUCACGCCCCUGUGGCUCCCUGCCCAUUUCCUGCCCCCAAGGUCCUCCUGGGCCUUCCAGACCCCGGCGGCAGUUACCUGUCCCCUCCCCCACGCGGCAUGCACCUCCCCUUUCCUGCGGCCACCUCGGACCCCGGACGCUCCGCUGCCGGCGCUCUCUUCCCUCUGCUCUUCCCCUCUGCGAGCGAGUGGGAUGAGGGACGCUGAGCCUCGGGGGUGGCGCGAGCCGGGGCCCGGGCGCCUAGACAAUAGUUGAUGCCCAGGGACGGGGCACCUCCGCCCCCUGUUCCGGAGCGCGGCCCCCACCGACUACUUGCAGCCUGCAUUCCGGGGCCCCCUCAGAGCCAGGCUCGGGAGUUGGGCUUAUUCUGCCUCCGCCUCCCCCGCGUCCCCUUGAGGGACGCUGAGCCUCGGGGGUGGCGCGAGCCGGGGCCCGGGCGCCUAGACAAUAGUUGAUGCCCAGGGACGGGGCACCUCCGCCCCCUGUUCCGGAGCGCGGCCCCCACCGACUACUUGCAGCCUGCAUUCCGGGGCCCCCUCAGAGCCAGGCUCGGGAGUUGGGCUUAUUCUGCCUCCGCCUCCCCCGCGUCCCCUGUCCCCUACGGACGCGCCCGGGACUCGAGGCUGCCUUGGGAGGCCGGACUGAGCGCAGUGAUUUAUUGAGGAUUCAGGUAUCAUGGUGAAGAAGACACAGCUUUCAAGGAACUGUAGCAAACGUUCUAAGUCUUUCUGCAAAAGUAUAGAAUGAGGAUGUCAUAAGGGAGUAAUCUCAACACUUUGAUUUUGAGGUGAGAACCUCUCUCCGAAACUGUCAUCACGGUUGGUCCCUGGGAGCAAUUGGAAUCCCACACCCCUCUUGGUAUCAUCAGGCUUCACAUAACAGCAUCCAGUUUUCUUUUCUUUUUUGGCUUUUUAUAGUUACAUUCUUAGGCCUCAUUUUCUAACUUUGUAUCUGUCAGUAGGCAUUGCUAAAGUAUUUCAGCCUCAACAAACCUUAAAUUGCAGCCUCUGAAUUAUGUAAAACCACUGAGUUUUCUUCAGAGUGCUGCAUGUGUAUGGGUGUGUUGAGUGUGUGACACUGUGUAUCAUUUUUAUUUUGAAUAUAGAAUGUCUUUGUUGGGGACUGAGACUGAUAGCCGUAAUAACACUUCAGUGGCAGCAAGAAAAGCAUUGCUGGGAUGGGAGUCACUUGAUGUCUCCUUUAACUUUAGAGACUUAUCAGAAAGCUGCAUUCUGGGUGCCAGUGUGUGAACCCGGGUUCAUUAUGCACUGUCAGAUUGUUAUUUUAAGUACACGUCAAAAGAACCUCUCACAAAAGAGUGAUGUAGCGUAUACUUUAGGUUUGGACUCUUACAAUCAAAGCUAGUUUAUUAAAAUGUUCAUCUGUCCCUGUGCCCUGUUCUCCAGCAAGUUAAACACAUCAACAAGCAACCGCUUUCAUUUAAAGAUAACCAGCCCCUUGUGUGUAUGACUGAGUUAUUUUUGUAUUAAUUGAUGAAAGCAUUUUUUAAAUCUAAAAGUUUAGUGUAUUUUUACUGCCAC